This 520-nucleotide ribosomal RNA is filed under the name uncultured Glomus. RNAcentral describes it as "SSU rRNA". It matches the Rfam family "Eukaryotic small subunit ribosomal RNA", at positions 569 to 1090 of the family's 1831-position model. Lineage: Eukaryota; Fungi; Glomeromycota; Glomeromycetes; Glomerales; Glomeraceae. The record is from RNAcentral.
AGCAGCCGCGGUAAUUCCAGCUCCAAUAGCGUAUAUUAAAGUUGUUGCAGUUAAAAAGCUCGUAGUUGAAUUUCGGGGUUAGUAGGUUGGUCAUGCCUCUGGUAUGUACUGGUCUCACUGAUUCCUCCUUCCUGACGAACCUUAAUGCCAUUAAUUUGGUGUUUUGGGGAAUUUGGACUGUUACUUUGAAAAAAUUAGAGUGUUUAAAGCAAGCUAACGCUUGAAUACAUUAGCAUGGAAUAAUGAAAUAGGACGUUCGAUCCUAUUUUGUUGGUUUCUAGGAUUGACGUAAUGAUUAAUAGGGAUAGUUGGGGGCAUUAGUAUUCAAUUGUCAGAGGUGAAAUUCUUGGAUUUAUUGAAGACUAACUACUGCGAAAGCAUUUGCCAAGGAUGUUUUCAUUAAUCAAGAACGAAAGUUAGGGGAUCGAAGACGAUCAGAUACCGUCGUAGUCUUAACCAUAAACUAUGCCGACUAGGGAUCGGAUGAUGUUAAUUUUUUAAUGACUCAUUCGGCGCCUUA